RNAcentral lists this ribosomal RNA (163 nucleotides) under uncultured bacterium. RNAcentral describes it as "partial 16S ribosomal RNA". It matches the Rfam family "Bacterial small subunit ribosomal RNA", at positions 355 to 509 of the family's 1533-position model. The record is from RNAcentral.
UAGGGAAUUUUCGUCAAUGGGCGCAAGCCUGAACGAGCGAUGCCGCGUGAGUGAAGAAGGCCUUCGGGUCGUAAAGCUCUGUUGCGGGGGAAAAAAGGCAGCAUCAGGAAAUGGGUGCUGACUGUAUGGUGCCCCGCCAGAAAGUCACGGCUAACUACGUGCC